This 487-nucleotide ribosomal RNA is filed under the name uncultured bacterium. RNAcentral's name for it is "bacterial SSU rRNA". It matches the Rfam family "Bacterial small subunit ribosomal RNA", at positions 8 to 507 of the family's 1533-position model. The record is from RNAcentral.
AGAGUUUGAUCAUGGCUCAGGAUGAACGCUAGCGGGAGGCCUAAUACAUGCAAGUCGAGCGGUCAGCAAUGAUAGCGGCAGACGGGUGCGUAACGCGUAUGAAACUUGCCCCACACAGGAGGAUAGCCUUGGGAAACUGAGAGUAACCCUCCAUAGUCUUGAGUUGCCGCAUGGUAGCUUAAGUAAAACUUCGGUGGUGUGGGAUAGUCGUGCGUCCGAUUAGGUAGUUGGUAGUGUAAUGGACUACCAAGCCGACGAUCGGUAGCUGGUCUGAGAGGAUGAUCAGCCACACGGGCACUGAGACACGGGCCCGACUCCUACGGGAGGCAGCAGUAAGGAAUAUUGGACAAUGGACGGAAGUCUGAUCCAGCCAUCCCGCGUGGAGGAAUAAGGCCCUAUGGGUUGUAAACUCCUUUAGCAGGGGAAUAAAAAGGUCAUUUAUGAUCAAUUGAAGGUACCCUGAGAAUAAGCACCGGCUAACUCCGUG